UGCAAAAGUGAUAGUUAAGGAUGUUUCUGAUUUUACAAAUAUUUUUUGACCUACCACAUUAGGAUGCCUGUCAGUCUGAUCUGCACAUUCAUCCUAAUGGCAAUAUUAAGUGACAUUUUGUGGCGUUAUGUACACACGUUCAACAUAGCUGUGUAUGAUGUGUCUAUUCAAGUGCAAUGGGUGUUGCUACUCCAGUGUACAGGCAGUUGACUAGUUGUAGUCCUGGACAUUUUGAAAGCGGAAAAUCUAGUCAUAAGGCAGUAAAAGCAUAAAUAAAUGUCAUAGCACAGGUAGUCAGGGUCGUGUAGACUUCAGCAGUUUGAUUAAAGCCCUCAAUUGUUUAUUUUUAUUUAUAUAUAUAUAUUUUUUAGCUUUUUUUCUGCGGGGGAAGAGGGAGUUUUGUCAACAGAAUCCUUGUGUGUUUUAGAUCCGUGUAUGUAGUGUUGGGUGUUGUCUUUUUGUCUUGUGUUUUAUGGUUCGUACAUAAGAAAAAAACCAGUGGCAUGUCAAUCACUUCUUAUGGGCAGAAUGUAUACCGUUACUACACCCUCACACCCUCAAUAUUGUUUACAAGACAUCAAGUGUGUUUCGGUUUCGUCUCUCUCACCUUAACGGUUUGAGCCCUGCCUUGAUUUCUUUAUUUCAUCAUUUAUUGAACCACAAAGGCUUGAAAUUUUACUUCUACUGUGUCCAUCUGAGUGUUCAUUUAAUAUUCAUUUUAACUGGACAUACUGCUAUUUUACACAAUAGAAUCACAAUUUCAAGCCUUUUUCUACUUUUCUUUUUCUCCUUUAUUGAACAAGACAGUAGCUGAUUCUUUAGAAUGGGAAAUGACUAAUAAAGCAUGGAGAACUACUCUUUAAAUGGUAACAAAUAACAUAUUUAUUAUCUUUCUGACACCUGUGGUAUGUUUCAGUUAAAGGUCUCCGCUGUGUAAAUUUUCCUCCUGUAAUGCGUUAGAGACAUUGUACAUAGUUGUAAAUAAAUAUCCCAGGACGUUUUGCACCCUCCUCUUUGUACUAGUCUAAACUUGCGUAGAAUGUGGGGUUCUAACAGCAACGAGACAGUGCGUUCGCUGCAGGUGAUGUAACAAUGUAACUUUUUUUAUUUGUACAAUGUAGUUGAAUUGUGUACAUAUUGUUGGAGCAGCUAUGGGGGAAGGGGUUUGUUGAUGCUAUCGUCAGUGCUGUAAAAGAUCCAGUACUUUCACCUCUAGCUGUGUUGAUUUCCUGCAAAAACAAAGGCGAGAAAAUAAAAAAUACUAAACGGAGAAGUAAAAAUUCUAAAUUGUUAUUUUCUACAGUUGCAUGUACAGAGAGCGCGAGAACUGCUGUUGUUCCUCAGAG
This 1346-nucleotide long non-coding RNA is filed under the name Salmo salar (Atlantic salmon). RNAcentral's name for it is "lncRNA (ENSSSAG00000096023.1)". The record is from RNAcentral. Lineage: Eukaryota; Metazoa; Chordata; Actinopteri; Salmoniformes; Salmonidae.